GCUUGUCUCAAAGAUUAAGCCAUGCAUGUCUAAGUACAAGCCUCAGUAAGGUGAAACCGCGAAUGGCUCAUUAAAUCACACCUAAUCUACUGGAAAGUUACUAGUUACUUGGAUAACUGAGGUAAUUCUUGAGCUAAUACAUGCGAAAAAUCUCGACUCACGGAGAGAUGCUUUUAUUAGAUCAAAACCAAACGGCUUCGGCCGUCUCAUUGGUGACUCUGAAUAACUUUGGGCUGAUCGUAUGGCCUUGUGCCGACGACGUUUCAUUCAAAUUUCUGCCCUAUCAGCUUUCGACGGUAGUGUAGUGGACUACCGUGGCGUUAACGGGUAACGGAGAAUUAGGGUUCGAUUCCGGAGAGGGAGCCUGAGAAACGGCUACCACAUCCAAGGAAGGCAGCAGG
RNAcentral lists this ribosomal RNA (401 nucleotides) under Crustacea environmental sample. Its description in RNAcentral is "partial small subunit ribosomal RNA". It matches the Rfam family "Eukaryotic small subunit ribosomal RNA", at positions 30 to 432 of the family's 1831-position model. Lineage: Eukaryota; Metazoa; Arthropoda. The record is from RNAcentral.